AACGAACGCUGGCGGCGUGGAUAAGACAUGCAAGUCGAACGGGGCUUACGGGUAGCAAUACUUUGUAAGUUCAGUGGCGAACGGGUGCGUAACACGUGAGUAAUCUGCCGGGAAAUGGGGGAUAGCUCGCCGAAAGGCGAAUUAAUACCGCAUGUGGCCAAGAAGGACAUCCUUCUGAAGCUAAAGUCGCAAGACGUUUCCUGAUGAGCUCGCGGCCUAUCAGCUAGUUGGUGAGGUAAUGGCUCACCAAGGCUAUGACGGGUAGCUGGUCUGAGAGGACGACCAGCCACACUGGAACUGAGACACGGUCCAGACACCUACGGGUGGCAGCAGUCGAGAAUUUUUCACAAUGGGGGAAACCCUGAUGGAGCGACGCCGCGUGGAGGAUGAAGGCGUUUUCGUCGUAAACUCCUGUCAAACGGGAACAAGAAAGUGAUAGUACCGUUAGAGGAAGAGACGGCUAACUCUGUGCCAGCAGCCGCCGUAAUAC
This 490-nucleotide ribosomal RNA is filed under the name uncultured bacterium. RNAcentral's name for it is "bacterial SSU rRNA". It matches the Rfam family "Bacterial small subunit ribosomal RNA", at positions 29 to 526 of the family's 1533-position model. The record is from RNAcentral.